This 61-nucleotide transfer RNA is filed under the name Pteroptyx maipo. RNAcentral describes it as "tRNA-Phe". The record is from RNAcentral. Lineage: Eukaryota; Metazoa; Arthropoda; Insecta; Coleoptera; Lampyridae.
AUUUUAAUAGCUUAUAUUAGAGCAUAAUAUUGAAGAUAUUAAUAGAUUUGGUCUUAAAAUA